UCCUCCAAGGAGCGUUGCAGCGCACCCGAAUGUGCGUCAGGCUUGGAGCCUACUUUUCGCAACGACGCUCACCUGAC
This 77-nucleotide non-coding RNA is filed under the name Hylemonella gracilis. RNAcentral's name for it is "SAH sequence". It matches the Rfam family "SAH (S-adenosyl-L-homocysteine) riboswitch aptamer". RNAcentral also lists the same sequence under 1 other name. The record is from RNAcentral. Lineage: Bacteria; Pseudomonadati; Pseudomonadota; Betaproteobacteria; Burkholderiales; Comamonadaceae.